AGUUUUAUAGUUUAAUAAAAUAUUAAAUUGCAAAUUUAAAGAUAGAAAUUCGAUUCUUAAGACUU
This 65-nucleotide transfer RNA is filed under the name Harpalus griseus. RNAcentral describes it as "tRNA-Cys". It matches the Rfam family "tRNA". From Rfam's summary of the family: Transfer RNA (tRNA) molecules are approximately 80 nucleotides in length. Their secondary structure includes four short double-helical elements and three loops (D, anti-codon, and T loops). Further hydrogen bonds mediate the characteristic L-shaped molecular structure. tRNAs have two regions of fundamental functional importance: the anti-codon, which is responsible for specific mRNA codon recognition, and the 3' end, to which the tRNAs corresponding amino acid is attached (by aminoacyl-tRNA synthetases). tRNAs cope with the degeneracy of the genetic code in two manners: having more than one tRNA (with a specific anti-codon) for a particular amino acid; and 'wobble' base-pairing, i.e. permitting non-standard base-pairing at the 3rd anti-codon position. The record is from RNAcentral. Lineage: Eukaryota; Metazoa; Arthropoda; Insecta; Coleoptera; Carabidae.